UGGGGAAUAUUGGACAAUGGGCGAAAGCCUGAUCCAGCCAUGCCGCGUGUGUGAAGAAGGCCUUUUGGUUGUAAAGCACUUUAAGUGGGGAGGAAAAGCUUAUGGUUAAUACCCAUAAGCCCUGACGUUACCCACAGAAUAAGCACCGGCUAACUCUGUGCCAGCAGCCGCGGUAAUACAGAGGGUGCAAGCGUUAAUCGGAAUUACUGGGCGUAAAGCGCGCGUAGGUGGUUAUUUAAGUCAGAUGUGAAAGCCCCGGGCUUAACCUGGGAACUGCAUCUGAUACUGGAUAACUAGAGUAGGUGAGAGGGGAGUAGAAUUCCAGGUGUAGCGGUGAAAUGCGUAGAGAUCUGGAGGAAUACCGAUGGCGAAGGCAGCUCCCUGGCAUCAUACUGACACUGAGGUGCGAAAGCGUGGGUAGCAAACAGGAUUAGAUACCCUGGUAGUCCACGCUGUAAACGCUGUCGAUUUGGGGGUUGGGGUUUAACUCUGGCGCCCGUAGCUAACGUGAUAAAUCGACCGCCUGGGGAGUACNGCCGCAAGGUUA
Molecule: ribosomal RNA, 547 nt
Filed under: uncultured bacterium
Lineage: Bacteria
Description: bacterial SSU rRNA
Rfam family: Bacterial small subunit ribosomal RNA
Source: RNAcentral